RNAcentral lists this long non-coding RNA (1564 nucleotides) under Macaca fascicularis (crab-eating macaque). Its description in RNAcentral is "lncRNA (ENSMFAG00000059920.1)". The record is from RNAcentral. Lineage: Eukaryota; Metazoa; Chordata; Mammalia; Primates; Cercopithecidae.
AUUGGCCAAAAGAUAGAGUGUGUCCCCAAGCAAGGCCAAUCAGAAUCCUCCUCUGGAAAAAUACGAGCCACUCACGUGUGGGCACUGCCAAGGCUGCAGGGCUGACCCAGCACGUGGAGACGGCAGGAUCAGGGAUGUGAGAGAGAGGGCAAGACCUCCGCUAAAGAAGAGACAAGCAGACGUGAGAGUCUGGGGGAGUGCCUUGGGAUUUUGAGCGCCUGAGGCUGUGGUUGCUUCCUUGGGUCUAUGAGCCAGAGCCUUCCAGGCCACAUGAAGCCUAACUCUCCUGGAGCUGGGGUGAACUAGGGUCUGUUACUCAACUGAGAGAGGCCAGGUUAAGACAAUAUUUCCGUCUCCCCUGUAGAAAUGAGGGCUACUUGAGGGAAGGGACUGGGGCUUCUUCAUCUCUAUUGAGAGGUGAAGCAAGCUGGACUUCCUGCAUAAAGGGCGGACUUGGAGAACUUUUCUGUCUAGCUAAAGGAAUGUAAAUGCACCAAGCAGCGCUCUGUAUCUAGCUAACGCUUUGUAAACGCACCAAUCAGCACUCUGUAAAAACGGACCUAUCAGCUCUCUGUAAAAUGGACCAGUCAACGCUCUAUAAAAUGGACCAAUCAGCAGGAUGUGGGCGGGGCCAAAUAAGGAAAUAAACGCUGGUCCCUAGAGCCCGCAACAGCAACCAGCUCAGGUCCCUUUCCAAGCUGGGAAGCUUUGUUCUUUCUCUUUGCUCUUCCUAAUAAAUCUUGCUGCUGCUCACUCUUUGGGUCUGCAUUACCUUUAUGAGGUGUAACACUCACUGCAGAGGUCUGCCGCUUCCCUCCUGAAGUCAGGGAGACCGCAAACCCACUGGAAGGGAGAAACUCCGGACACAUCUGAACAUCUGAAGGAACAAACUCCGGACAUGCCAUCUUUAAGAACUGUAACACUCACGGCUAGGAUCUGCAGCUUCAUUCUUGAAGUCCGCGAGACCAAGAACCCACCGGAAGGAAUAAAUUCUGAACGCACUAGUGCAGUGCCUGAAGGCAUCAGGUACCGGCCUCUGUGAAGGAUUCUGAGAUGAAGACAGUCCUCACACCCCUGUGAAGAUGAGUGAGUUCACCAAGCACAGCCACGCAAGGUGUAGGGGCCUGGAGCCCUGGGAAAGCCUGACUGUGGGGGGUCUGUCGCUGCCGGCUCUGCCUCUUGGUCUCUCCACCCAGAUGCGAGAUGAUCAGGACUGACUAAACUGAGCCACCCAACACAGUCUCAUGUGGACAGGGAAGGCUUCAGCUUUGCCAAGAAUUCCAGAGCUGGAUUUUAUUGACACAUCAUACUUAUGAUUAUGUCAGUGGAGUUCUUUCUGGAGAGGGAGGCCUGCCCUUUGACCUAGCUGUAGAAUUGCCCCAGUAUUCCCUUAAGCUCAAUCCCUCCUCUGAUCCCCACCCCCUUGGGACUCUCUGUGGCUGUCUCUAGAUCAAAAUAUCCUCCCACCGUUCAGGACGGGCCUGGCCAGAGACUCUUGUUAUUUUCACUCCUGUUCUGAUAACAAUCCCUGUGGAAGGAAAGAAAAAUGUCACCUAGAUAAAGA